Molecule: unclassified non-coding RNA, 297 nt
Filed under: uncultured fungus
Lineage: Eukaryota; Fungi
Description: sequence contains ITS1
Source: RNAcentral
UUGUUCAGUUGUGCUCAAUGGCGCAGGCAGAGGGCCUGUCAGACUGUGUGGUUUGGAGCCGAUGGUUUGGCGCGGACCUUCCCCGGGUGUCUCCCGGUCGGCCGCGCCCCCGACCACGGGGGGCGGCCUGCCGGGGCAGGCUGGCUGCUGCCCCGGGGAAGCAACGUGGACAGGUACGCAGGGAGGGGUGUGCAGGAUCUGGGCCGCCACGGCGGGGCCUCUCAGCCCACACCACGGCGGUCCCCACCACUGGGGUGCGACUCCAUAAUGAUCCUUCCGCAGGUUCACCUACGGAAA